RNAcentral lists this ribosomal RNA (776 nucleotides) under uncultured fungus. RNAcentral's name for it is "eukaryotic LSU rRNA". It matches the Rfam family "Eukaryotic large subunit ribosomal RNA", at positions 30 to 821 of the family's 3401-position model. The record is from RNAcentral. Lineage: Eukaryota; Fungi.
GAACUUAAGCAUAUCAAUAAGGCGAGGAACAGAAACCAACUGGGAUUCCCCUAGUAGUGGCGAAUGAAGCGGGAAAAGCUCAAGUUUGAAAUCCGGCGGGUGACUUCCGGAGUUGUAAGCUGAUGAGGUAUCGACCGACGUGGUCCGGGCCCAAUUUCCUUGGAACAGGAGGUCAUGGAGGGUGAGAACCCCGUCCGUGGCUCGGGUGCCAUCGUCCUUGUGUCGUGUCCUCUAAGAGUCGGGUUGUUUGGGAAUGCAGCUCAAAAUGGGUGGUAAAUUUCAUCUAAAGCUAAAUACUGGCGAGAGACCGAUAGCAAACAAGUAGAGUGAUCGAAAGAUGAAAAGUACUUUGAAAAGAGAGUGAAACAGUACGUGAAAUUGUUGAAAGGGAAGCGUUUGGCAUCAGCCCUUGGCGUCCGUCGAACAUCCAGGCUUCUGCCAGGUGCACUCGUCGGCCGUCGGGCCAGCGUCGGCUCUGCCUGUCGGANAAAGGUCCGAGGGAUGUGGCUCACCUUCGAGCGUUAUAACCUCGGGCGUCAUGCGAUAUGGUGGGGCCGAGGUCUGCGGACUCUGUCCUAGGACGCUGGCGUAAUGGUUCCAAGCGACCCGUCUUGAAACACGGACCAAGGAGUCUAACAUCUAUGCGAGUGUUUGGGUGUCAAGCCCGUCCGCGCAAUGAAAGUGAAUGCAGGCGGGAGCCGUAAAAGGUGCACCGCCGACCGGUCCGGGGGUUUACCGAAGGAUCCGAGUAAGAGCAUAGCUGUUGGGACCCGAAA